This 465-nucleotide ribosomal RNA is filed under the name uncultured bacterium. Its description in RNAcentral is "bacterial SSU rRNA". It matches the Rfam family "Bacterial small subunit ribosomal RNA", at positions 338 to 795 of the family's 1533-position model. The record is from RNAcentral.
CCUACGGGGCGCAGCAGUGGGGAAUAUUGUACAAUGGGCGCAAGCCUGAUGCAGCCAUGCCGCGUGUAUGAAGAAGGCCUUCGGGUUGUAAAGUACUUUCAGCAGGGAGGAAGGCGAUAAGGUUAAUAACCUUGUCGAUCGACGUUACCCGCAGAAGAAGCACCGGCUAACUCCGUGCCAGCAGCCGCGGUAAUACGGAGGGUGCAAGCGUUAAUCGGAAUUACUGGGCGUAAAGCGCACGCAGGCGGUCUGUCAAGUCGGAUGUGAAAUCCCCGGGCUCAACCUGGGAACUGCAUUCGAAACUGGCAGGCUAGAGUCUUGUAGAGGGGGGUAGAAUUCCAGGUGUAGCGGUGAAAUGCGUAGAGAUCCGGAGGAAUACCGGUGGCGAAGGCGGCCCCCUGGACAAAGACUGACGCUCAGGUGCGAAAGCGUGGGGAGCAAACAGGAUUAGAUACCCCUGUAGUC